CCCCAGUGGCUUUUCCAGAACUGCUACCUUCUCCGUGAAGCUCCAUGAGUUUUCCCAAAUUUAUUGACUACUUCUUUCAAGUCAUUUGUUUGCACCUCCCGUGUCAUGAUUUCCAUCAUCUUCUUCCGGAUCUGGCGGACCUGCUGGUGCUGAGCAUAGGAAGUCUUCCGUAUCUGAUUGUUGCGUUUUUUGGUAAAACCAACACAGAACAGACGAAGCAAAUAAAUGCAACUUCAUUGUUCUGCAGGUCAGCAAGACUCACUUCAAAAACACGACCCUUGAGUCCAUCAGACACAAUUUUGGUUCCUUGGGUCCUCGUGACCAGUGUUUUCCCAAUAUUUCGUAUGUUGAACAUAGCAGGUGCCUUCACAUCAUACCAAUCUUUCUUAGAAAAUGGGUCCACCACUUUCUUCUUGGCUCCCUUUUUGCCGCCUUUCGUAAGGUGCUUGUUCUUGCCGACCGCCAUGGUGGUGCUCAGAGAGCCAAAAGGGCGCAUUAGUACUAUUAUGCAUUAUUGCCAUUAGUUUUUAAAAGGUUUAUUUAUUUAUUUAUCUGAAAAGCAGAGUUACAGAGAGAUGGGAAAGACACACACACAAACACACACAGUGAGCUUCAUCUGGGUUUCCCACAUGGGUGAUGGGGUCCAAGUACUUGGGCCAUCCUCUGUUGAUUUUUCCAGGCACAUUAGCAGGGAACUGGAUGGGAAAUGGAGCAGCUGGGACAUGAACUGGUGCCCAUAGGGAUGAUGGCAUUGCAUAACCAUGGCCCCACCAAAUUGUGGUUUUCUAAUCCUGCUGUUACUUCUAGUUGCUAGUUAGCAAUCUACUAUAGGUAAGUUCUAUCCUUUCUUGCCAAUUUGUUUAUUUGUAUCUCUACAAAUAGCUGUGUUUUGUGCAAAGAGACGUACUCUGUUAAUAUUUAG
Molecule: long non-coding RNA, 922 nt
Filed under: Oryctolagus cuniculus (rabbit)
Lineage: Eukaryota; Metazoa; Chordata; Mammalia; Lagomorpha; Leporidae
Description: lncRNA (ENSOCUG00000031659.1)
Source: RNAcentral